Molecule: ribosomal RNA, 448 nt
Filed under: uncultured bacterium
Lineage: Bacteria
Description: partial 16S ribosomal RNA
Rfam family: Bacterial small subunit ribosomal RNA
Source: RNAcentral
CCAGACUCCUACGGGAGGCAGCAGUGGGGAAUAUUGCACAAUGGGGGAAACCCUGAUGCAGCAACGCCGCGUGAGUGAAGAAGUAUUUCGGUAUGUAAAGCUCUAUCAGCAGGGAAGAAGAAAGACGGUACCUGACUAAGAGGCCCCGGCUAACUACGUGCCAGCAGCCGCGGUAAUACGUAGGGGGCAAGCGUUAUCCGGAUUUACUGGGUGUAAAGGGAGCGUAGACGGCGAUGCAAGUCUGAAGUGAAAGGCGGGGGCCCAACCCCCGGACUGCUUUGGAAACUGUAUGGCUGGAGUGCAGGAGAGGUAAGUGGAAUUCCUAGUGUAGCGGUGAAAUGCGUAGACAUUAGGAGGAACACCAGUGGCGAAGGCGGCUUACUGGACGGUAACUGACGUUGAGGCUCGAAAGCGUGGGGAGCAAACAGGAUUAGAUACCCCUGUAAAC